GACGAACGCUGGCGGCGUGCUUAACACAUGCAAGUCGAACGGAAAGGCCUGCUUUCCCUUGUGGAUUGCGGGUACUCGAGUGGCGAACGGGUGAGUAACACGUGAGUGAUCUGCCCCCAACUUGGGUAUAAGCCUGGGAAACUGGGUCUAAUUCCCGAUAGGACUGCAGGGUGGUGCCUGUGGUGGAAAACGAUUUUCUAGUGGGUGGGGAUGAGCUCGCGGCCUAUCAGCUUGUUGGUGGGGUAAUGGCCUACCAAGGCGGCGACGGGUAGCCGGCCGGAGAGGGUGGACGGCCACAUUGGGACUGAGAUACGGCCCAGACUCCUACGGGAGGCAGCAGUGGGGAAUAUUGCACAAUGGGCGGAAGCCUGAUGCAGCGACGCCGCGUGGGGGAUGACGGCCUUCGGGUUGUAAACUCCUUUCGACCGCGAGGAAGCCACCUGGUUGGAAGGGUGGUGACGGUAGUGGUAGAAGAAGCACCGGCUAACUACGUG
This 494-nucleotide ribosomal RNA is filed under the name uncultured bacterium. Its description in RNAcentral is "partial 16S ribosomal RNA". It matches the Rfam family "Bacterial small subunit ribosomal RNA", at positions 28 to 507 of the family's 1533-position model. The record is from RNAcentral.